Molecule: non-coding RNA, 689 nt
Filed under: Pan troglodytes (chimpanzee)
Lineage: Eukaryota; Metazoa; Chordata; Mammalia; Primates; Hominidae
Source: RNAcentral
UGGAGACUGCAUCCCACGCAGGCAGCCCCCUUCUGUACAAGAGAGGCUGGCGGUUACCUUUCUUGGGGAGACGCGUCCGACUGCUUCAUUGUGGGGGCCUCAGGAGCGGAGGAUCGGGUCCCGCCCGAGGUGACGCGUAAACCCGGACUCUCAGCAACGCGGGUAGGAAGGACCCUUGAAGUUCCGCGGCGACCACGGAACUGUGCCUUCGAUCUCCACAGUCGGCUGAAACCAGCAGCCCAGGACAAGUGGACCAGCCAGCAAGACCCAGACCAUCCAAACCGGCUGAUCCUACGACAGGACCCAGAUGCCAGUGAAAGUGACCACAGCCCUGCUCUAGUCACCUCGGGAGCUGACCAGUCUACGCACGGCCGAAGCUUGAGGAGACGCCAGCCCUGCUCUCGUCACCCCGGGAGCUGACCAGUCUACACACGGCCGAAGCUUCAUCAAGGAAGUAAAUGUAGUUAGAAAUCUUAAGCCCAGUAAUUUUCCUUGUCAUCUUAAUUGUUUUACUAUUAACCUGUCGCUUUGCUCAAUCCCCUCCUCUGGGCAAACAUCUCUUGUCCAUCCUAGGUACAAACAUGCUACUCUUCCCUUUGUUCUUGCUGCUCUCGCUAGAUCCAUGUCAGAAGGAGGGAUAUGCGGAGAGUUUAAUUUAACUAAUUGUUGCCUAAAAAUCGAUGACAAUG